This 200-nucleotide ribosomal RNA is filed under the name uncultured bacterium. RNAcentral's name for it is "partial 16S ribosomal RNA". It matches the Rfam family "Bacterial small subunit ribosomal RNA", at positions 29 to 256 of the family's 1533-position model. The record is from RNAcentral.
AGCGAACGCUGGCGGCAGGCCUAACACAUGCAAGUCGAACGGAUCCUUCGGGAUUAGUGGCGGACGGGUGAGUAACACGUGGGAACGUGCCCUUUGGUUCGGAACAACUCAGGGAAACUUGAGCUAAUACCGGAUAAGCCUUUCGAGGGAAAGAUUUAUCGCCUUUAGAGCGGCCCGCGUCUGAUUAGCUAGUUGGUGAG